RNAcentral lists this ribosomal RNA (250 nucleotides) under uncultured bacterium. RNAcentral describes it as "partial 16S ribosomal RNA". It matches the Rfam family "Bacterial small subunit ribosomal RNA", at positions 57 to 305 of the family's 1533-position model. The record is from RNAcentral.
GCAAGUCGAACGGUAACAGGAACUAGCUUGCUAGUUUGCUGACGAGUGGCGGACGGGUGAGUAACACGUAAGAAUCUACCUUUUAGGUUGGGACAACUCGAGGAAACUCGAGCUAAUACCGGAUAUGUUCUAAGGAACAAAGCUGGGCUGUAGCGCCUCGCGCUAAUAGAUGAGCCUGCGGCGGAUUAGCUAGUUGGAGUGGUAAUGGCACACCAAGGCGACGAUCCGUAGCUGGUCUGAGAGGACGAAC